AGAGUUUGAUCCUGGCUCAGGAUGGACGCUAGCUACAGGCUUAACACAUGCAAGUCGAGGGGAAACGACAUCGAAAGCUUGCUUUUGAUGGGCGUCGACCGGCGCACGGGUGAGUAACGCGUAUCCAACCUGCCCACCACUUGGGGAUAACCUUGCGAAAGUAAGACUAAUACCCAAUGACGUCUCUAGAAGACAUCUGAAAGAGAUUAAAGAUUUAUCGGUGAUGGAUGGGGAUGCGUCUGAUUAGCUUGUUGGCGGGGUAACGGCCGCAAGGCUACGAUCAGUAGGGGUUCUGAGAGGAAGGUCCCCCCANAUUGGAACUGAGACACGGUCCAAACUCCUACGGGAGGCA
Molecule: ribosomal RNA, 352 nt
Filed under: uncultured bacterium
Lineage: Bacteria
Description: bacterial SSU rRNA
Rfam family: Bacterial small subunit ribosomal RNA
Source: RNAcentral